Molecule: non-coding RNA, 72 nt
Submitted as: unclassified sequences
Source: Rfam
UUAAUUUUGAGGAUAGAAAAGUCAGCUAUCACCCUAGUUAGGAGAUACAGGAGUGGCGACCUGUCUUAUUAA